This 565-nucleotide ribosomal RNA is filed under the name Xylariales sp. M93. Its description in RNAcentral is "eukaryotic LSU rRNA". The stretch from base 207 to 360 matches the Rfam family "5.8S ribosomal RNA". The record is from RNAcentral. Lineage: Eukaryota; Fungi; Ascomycota; Sordariomycetes; Xylariales; Xylariaceae.
UGCGGAGGGAUCAUUAUAGAGUUAUCAAAACUCCCAACCCAUGUGAACUUACCAUUGUUGCCUCGGUGGACCUACCUGGAUCGACCUACCCGGAGCGAGUUACCCUGUAGCGAGCUACCCGGAGCGGCCUACCCGGAUCGGCCCGCCGGUGGAUUUUUCAACUCUUGUUAUUUUAGUGAAUCUGAGCGUCUUAUUUAAUAAGUUAAAACUUUCAACAACGGAUCUCUUGGUUCUGGCAUCGAUGAAGAACGCAGCGAAAUGCGAUAAGUAAUGUGAAUUGCAGAAUUCAGUGAAUCAUCGAAUCUUUGAACGCACAUUGCGCCCAUGAGUAUUCUCUUGGGCAUGCCUGUUCGAGCGUCAUUUCGACCCUUAAGCAUAGCUUAGUGUUGGGAAUCUACUGUCUGUAGUUCCUGAAAACCAACGGCGGAGUUAUAGUAUCCUCUGAGCGUAGUAAUCAUUAUCUCGCUUCUGUUAGGUGCUGUAAUUCUAGCCGCUAAACCCCCUAUUUUUAAAGGUUUGACCUCGGAUCAGGUAGGAAUACCCGCUGAACUUAAGCAUAUCAAAG